RNAcentral lists this transfer RNA (71 nucleotides) under Porites lutea. Its description in RNAcentral is "tRNA-Met". RNAcentral also lists the same sequence under 2 other names. The record is from RNAcentral. Lineage: Eukaryota; Metazoa; Cnidaria; Anthozoa; Scleractinia; Poritidae.
GUUCAGUUCUUCGGAAUUCAUUUGUAAAGCUGCCUCUAUGGGGAAAAAUGGGGGUUGAGUAUCGCUUUGUU